Molecule: unclassified non-coding RNA, 87 nt
Filed under: Chryseobacterium gambrini
Lineage: Bacteria; Pseudomonadati; Bacteroidota; Flavobacteriia; Flavobacteriales; Weeksellaceae
Description: Flavo-1 RNA
Source: RNAcentral
UUUUAGCCCCGAUAGAAACGGUUACCCCGGAGCAAGCGAAGGCAAAAGCAAGGGAGCGAGGAGUAUGAGUGGAUAGCGGGAAAUAGC